GAUGAACGCUGGCGGCGUGCCUAAUACAUGCAAGUCGAGCGAACGGACGAGGAGCUUGCUCCUCUGAUGUUAGCGGCGGACGGGUGAGUAACACGUGGAUAACCUACCUAUAAGACUGGGAUAACUUCGGGAAACCGGAGCUAAUACCGGAUAAUAUUUUGAACCGCAUGGUUCAAUAGUGAAAGACGGUCUUGCUGUCACUUAUAGAUGGAUCCGCGCUGCAUUAGCUAGUUGGUAAGGUAACGGCUUACCAAGGCAACGAUGCAUAGCCGACCUGAGAGGGUGAUCGGCCAAACCGGAACUGAGACACCGUUCCGACUCCUAAGGGGGGCCGCAGUAGGGAAUUCUACGCAAAGGGGGGAAGCCCUGAGGAGGAACGGCGGCUGAGGUAAUAAGGUUCUUCGGUUGGUAAAACUCUUUUAUAGGGAAAAAACAAUUGUGUAGUUAAUGAGGCACGCCUGAACGUAACCUAAUAGAAAGGCAAGGCUAAAUUACUG
RNAcentral lists this ribosomal RNA (497 nucleotides) under uncultured bacterium. RNAcentral describes it as "partial 16S ribosomal RNA". It matches the Rfam family "Bacterial small subunit ribosomal RNA", at positions 28 to 507 of the family's 1533-position model. The record is from RNAcentral.